UAGGAAACUAUCCUCGCCUAGGACGUGUC
This 29-nucleotide non-coding RNA is filed under the name Rattus norvegicus (Norway rat). The record is from RNAcentral. Lineage: Eukaryota; Metazoa; Chordata; Mammalia; Rodentia; Muridae.